This 602-nucleotide ribosomal RNA is filed under the name uncultured bacterium. RNAcentral describes it as "bacterial SSU rRNA". It matches the Rfam family "Bacterial small subunit ribosomal RNA", at positions 268 to 873 of the family's 1533-position model. The record is from RNAcentral.
CCAAGUCUACGAUCUUUAGGGGCUCUGAGAGGAGAAUCCCCCACACUGGCACUGAGAUACGGGCCAGACUCCUACGGGAGGCAGCAGUAGGGAAUAUUGGGCAAUGGGCGGAAGCCUGACCCAGCCACGCCGCGUGCAGGAAGACGGCCCUCUGGGUUGUAAACUGCUUUUGAUUGGGAAGAAAGCAGCUCAUGCGUGAGAAUUUGACGGUACCAAUCGAAUAAGCCACGGCUAACUACGUGCCAGCAGCCGCGGUAAUACGUAGGUGGCGAGCGUUAUCCGGAUUUAUUGGGUUUAAAGGGAGCGUAGGCGGCUGAUUAAGUCAGCGGUGAAAGGUAGCAGCUUAACUGUUUUACAUGCCGUUGAUACUGGUUAGCUUGAGUUGACAGAAGGCAGAUAGAAUUCCUGGUGUAGCGGUGAAAUGCUUAGAUACCAGGAGGAAUACCGAUUGCGAAGGCAGUCUGCUGCAGUCACACUGACGCUGAGGCUCGAAGGUGCGGGGAUCAAACAGGAUUAGAUACCCUGGUAGUCCGCACAGUAAACGAUGAUUACUAGAUGUUGGCUUAAGUCAGUGUCCAAGGGAAACCGAUAAGUAAUCCACC